Non-coding RNA from Cinara cedri, 784 nucleotides. The record is from the annotation of a GenBank genome assembly. NCBI's taxonomy places the organism in Eukaryota, Metazoa, Arthropoda, Insecta, Hemiptera, Aphididae.
GUUUUUUGAAGUUCUGAUAUGCGGAUAUUAUAUAUUAUGUUAAAUAACUAUAUUGUCCUCAGAGCAUGUUUAUCAUGAUCUAAUGGUUAUUUAUACCUAUUAUCAUCCAAGGAGUUCCAAGUCCAAACCAGUCUGACAAAAAAAAAUUAUUUGUAUUCUUUUUACUUUUACUUAAACAAGGUAAAUCAAUUGUAGCUUAUUUUCUGAAAGGAAAGUUUAUCUCCAUGGUUUAUUUAUUUAUUCGUAUGGCUUAACAAAUCAUUUACAGCAAAAUUAUACAGUAAAAAUAAAAUAUAAACAUAAAGCAUAAUUUAAUUAAAUUUAGAUUGAAAAGGUUAAGGUUUUAUAAAUAUAUAAUAUAAUAUAACAAUAUAACAUAACAAUGCGUAACAGUUUAUAGGUGUACGUCCAGUUCCCUUAUCCACUUUACUGCUUCAAAUAAAUAAAUCUCCAUGGUAAUUUAGAGAAGACGUUUAUUGAUUUUUCAAGCGGUAUUCAUAAAAUCUGGAAAAAUUGGGAAAAAAUGUCGGAAACACGGAAAAUGUACAUAAUGUAGGUAUUAGUAAAAAAUAUAGCCUUUUUUUUCUGUGUACAACUUUUUACUAGAUAUUUUGCUCCGAUUUACAAUGAUAGCACUUUUUCUGAAAGAAAAUCUGACUGGGAAGGUACUUGAAGUUGGUAAUUUUUCGAUUUUCUUAAUUUUCGAUAAAUGAAAAAAAAAAACGGGAAAAUCUGUACACUAUUAAACAAAUAUUAAAGAAAAUAUAUAAUGCCUAUUUAAUUA